RNAcentral lists this ribosomal RNA (194 nucleotides) under uncultured bacterium. RNAcentral describes it as "partial 16S ribosomal RNA". It matches the Rfam family "Bacterial small subunit ribosomal RNA", at positions 350 to 535 of the family's 1533-position model. The record is from RNAcentral.
AGCAGUAGGGAAUCUUCCACAAUGGACGCAAGUCUGAUGGAGCAACGCCGCGUGAGUGAAGAAGGUUUUCGGAUCGUAAAGCUCUGUUGUAAGUCAAGAACGGGUGUGAGAGUGGAAAGUUCACACUAUGACGGUAGCUUACCAGAAAGGGACGGCUAACUACGUGCCAGCAGCCGCGGUAAUACGUAGGUCCC